CACGCCUGUAAUCCCAGUUACUCAGGAGUUGGAGGUAGGAAAAUGGCUUGAACCUGCGAGGCGGAGGUUGUAGUGAGCUGAGAUCAUGCCACUGCACUCCAGUCUGGGUGACAGAGACUCCAUCCUGGUGCUCCAGCCUGGGUGACAGAGACUCCAUCUCAAAAAAAAAAAAAAAAAGGCAUCCGGGGACAAGUGGUAAAAUUUACAGACAGAUGGCCUGAUGUUUGCAUUGAUGACAACCCAGUCUCCUCCAGCCUGGCCUGCCCUCUGCACUUCAGAUCUAAGUGUCUGGGCCUGCUGGACACCCCUACUUGGCUGUAACACAGACUCCUCCCGUUGGUUCACAGACAAAACUCAGCCUGCUUGCUUCUCCUGGUUCUCUUUUGCUAUUUGAAGUCUCCCUUGACUCCUCACUCCCUUUUGCAGCCAAACCAGCACACAAGUGUCUUUUUGCUCCAUCGAUGGCUGUCUGUCCUCACUGGCUCCCACCCCCUGCCCGGCUCAGACUCUCACCAGGAUGACCACAACAGCUCCCUACCUACUGUCUUCUACUUUUCCCAUCCAUUCGCCAAGGCAACCGGGGGGAUUUUUGCAAAUAAAUAAAAAAAAACCUGACC
Long non-coding RNA from Mandrillus leucophaeus (drill), 617 nucleotides. RefSeq lists it as uncharacterized. The record is from RefSeq and is a predicted model, not a curated record. The transcript has 2 exons. Lineage: Eukaryota; Metazoa; Chordata; Mammalia; Primates; Cercopithecidae.